UACGUAGGGGGCAAGCGUUAUCCGGAUUUACUGGGUGUAAAGGGAGCGUAGACGGAUAAGCAAGUCUGGUGUAAAAGGCAGUGGCUCAACCAUUGUAUGCAUUGGAAACUGGUAGACUUGAGUGCAGGAGAGGAGAGUGGAAUUCCAUGUGUAGCGGUGAAAUGCGUAGAUAUAUGGAGGAACACCGGUGGCGAAAGCGGCUCUCUGGCCUGUAACUGACACUGAGGCUCGAAAGCGUGGGGAGCAAACAGG
This 252-nucleotide ribosomal RNA is filed under the name uncultured bacterium. RNAcentral describes it as "partial 16S ribosomal RNA". It matches the Rfam family "Bacterial small subunit ribosomal RNA", at positions 524 to 776 of the family's 1533-position model. The record is from RNAcentral.